UCGAAAAUUAAAAAGUGUAGA
Molecule: small RNA, 21 nt
Filed under: Caenorhabditis elegans
Lineage: Eukaryota; Metazoa; Nematoda; Chromadorea; Rhabditida; Rhabditidae
Description: Unclassified non-coding RNA Y41D4B.25
Source: RNAcentral